This 177-nucleotide small RNA is filed under the name Chrysemys picta bellii (western painted turtle). Its description in RNAcentral is "TUC338 (ENSCPBG00000007797.1)". Lineage: Eukaryota; Metazoa; Chordata; Testudines; Emydidae. The record is from RNAcentral.
GUGACAGCCAUGAAGGGUGAAGUCCCGUGUUUAUGCAUAGUUAGGUGCAGACAGGGCGGGGGCACAGUGGAAGUUUCCCCACAUUGUGUCACCACUGUAUCUCAACCCAGUCCUGGAGGGACCAGCUGUAGAGGCAAGGGUAGUUCAGUCUCUGCAGCUAUUCAGUCCCUUGUUCUC